This 251-nucleotide ribosomal RNA is filed under the name uncultured bacterium. RNAcentral describes it as "partial 16S ribosomal RNA". It matches the Rfam family "Bacterial small subunit ribosomal RNA", at positions 524 to 774 of the family's 1533-position model. The record is from RNAcentral.
UACGUAGGGUGCAAGCGUUAAUCGGAAUUACUGGGCGUAAAGCGUGCGCAGGCGGUUGUGCAAGACAGAUGUGAAAUCCCCGGGCUCAACCUGGGAAUUGCAUUUGUGACUGCACGGCUAGAGUGUGUCAGAGGGGGGUAGAAUUCCACGUGUAGCAGUGAAAUGCGUAGAGAUGUGGAGGAAUACCGAUGGCGAAGGCAGCCCCCUGGGAUAACACUGACGCUCAUGCACGAAAGCGUGGGGAGCAACAG